RNAcentral lists this long non-coding RNA (753 nucleotides) under Numida meleagris (helmeted guineafowl). RNAcentral's name for it is "lncRNA (ENSNMEG00000019567.1)". Lineage: Eukaryota; Metazoa; Chordata; Aves; Galliformes; Numididae. The record is from RNAcentral.
UUCUACAAUGUACACAUCUGCAUUAAUGCACACUCUGCUCACUGACUUAGGAGAGAUAACCUCCAAGGCUGCUUGCAGCUAAGGCUGCAAAACAACAUGCUGGACAUUCCCUCUUUCCUCUGACUACUCCCUAAGCUGUGUCUGGGUGAGAGGCUGCAAACAGGAUGGGGGGAAGGGGGAUGCCCACUGUCCCCUAUGGUUGUGCAGAACCCCUUGGAUCUCCCUUGUGAGCAGUGAGGUAUGACAGACACCAACAGCUCCCUGCUCAGACAGAAUUUGCGAGAUUGUAGAAGCUCAUCUGAGAUGUUAGCUGAUUGAUUAUAAAUACUUUUUUUUUUUUUCAGGGAAAAAAAGAAAAAACACAAAUCAUAGAAUCAUAGAAUCACCAAGUUUGGAAAAGACCUGCAACAUCAUCCAGUCCAGCCGUCCACAGAACCCAUAAGAAUGGCCUUUUGUACAGGCCUCAUUGACCUUCCUCCCAGUGUCCCCAGCAGGCAGCUGGCAUGAGCGUUCCUCUCCUUCUCAGUGCCCCAGCCCAGUCUCCACAGGAAGUUCCUACAUCUGAGACCAAAUCCCUGCAAAGUGAAUGGGAGAGCUGUGUAGGCUGCUGGAUGCGUCAUGUGCCUAUCACUGCAGCUCAUACGCUCUCCAGUGAUAAUCUCUCCAUUCUGAAAAUUUUAUUUCUGAACCCUUGGAUACACAUCAGAUUUGUUGAGCUGAGGCAGAAUAAGCCUCUGGAGAACACCUCCUAGA